UCCUCACGUCUUCUCUCCCUUCC
RNAcentral lists this microRNA (23 nucleotides) under Pteropus alecto (black flying fox). RNAcentral's name for it is "pal-miR-4646-3p". The record is from miRBase by way of RNAcentral. Lineage: Eukaryota; Metazoa; Chordata; Mammalia; Chiroptera; Pteropodidae.